AUGAAGGUGAAUUCUUCCAAGAAACACAUCUUUCCAAAAAAACGCUUCAAGAAAUGCUCCACUUCACCCCAGAACAUUCAAGUAGACAGCGACAGUGAAUCCGACUUCACCCCUGAGCCGAAACAAGAAGAGGUUACUGUUGCGGAUGACUUGUCAAUGCUUGAACUAUUACAUAAAGGUGGCCUUCCAUAUUUUAAUGCCGUUGAACCCGAUGAGCACGUCAUUCAUGAUAGUGAUGAUGAUGAUGCAUUCAUUGAUCCCGAAGCAUUUAUUGAACCCGACGAUCAAGAUUAUUAUUAG
This 300-nucleotide ribosomal RNA is filed under the name Triticum aestivum (bread wheat). Its description in RNAcentral is "partial small subunit ribosomal RNA". The record is from RNAcentral. Lineage: Eukaryota; Viridiplantae; Streptophyta; Magnoliopsida; Poales; Poaceae.